Molecule: ribosomal RNA, 243 nt
Filed under: uncultured bacterium
Lineage: Bacteria
Description: partial 16S ribosomal RNA
Rfam family: Bacterial small subunit ribosomal RNA
Source: RNAcentral
GCGAGGCAGAGCGAACCCCCAAAAGCCGUCCCAGUUCGGAUCGCAGGCUGCAACCCGCCUGCGUGAAGUCGGAAUCGCUAGUAAUCGCGGAUCAGCAUGCCGCGGUGAAUACGUUCCCGGGCCUUGUACACACCGCCCGUCACACCAUGAGAGUCGGGAACACCCGAAGUCCGUAGCCUAACCGAAAGGAGGGCGCGGCCGAAGGUGGGUUCGAUAAUUGGGGUGAAGUCGUAACAAGGUACC